AGGGAGCUUGCUCCCGGGUGGCGAGUGGCGCACGGGUGAGUAAUACAUCGGAACGUGUCCUGUUGUGGGGGAUAACUGCUCGAAAGGGUGGCUAAUACCGCAUGAGACCUGAGGGUGAAAGCGGGGGAUCGCAAGACCUCGCGCAAUUGGAGCGGCCGAUGCCCGAUUAGCUAGUUGGUGAGGUAAAGGCUCACCAAGGCGACGAUCGGUAGCUGGUCUGAGAGGACGACCAGCCACACUGGGACUGAGACACGGCCCAGACUCC
Molecule: ribosomal RNA, 265 nt
Filed under: uncultured Burkholderiales bacterium
Lineage: Bacteria; Pseudomonadati; Pseudomonadota; Betaproteobacteria; Burkholderiales
Description: partial 16S ribosomal RNA
Rfam family: Bacterial small subunit ribosomal RNA
Source: RNAcentral